GUGCUCGCUUUGGCACCACAUGUACUAAAAUUGGAACGAUACAGAGAAGCUUAGCAUGGUUCCUGCACAAGGAUGACAUGCAAAUUCAUGAAGUGUUCCAUAUUUUU
This 107-nucleotide small nuclear RNA is filed under the name Carlito syrichta (Philippine tarsier). The record is from RNAcentral. Lineage: Eukaryota; Metazoa; Chordata; Mammalia; Primates; Tarsiidae.